Molecule: transfer RNA, 77 nt
Filed under: Dehalococcoidia bacterium
Lineage: Bacteria; Bacillati; Chloroflexota; Dehalococcoidia
Description: tRNA-Lys
Rfam family: tRNA
About the family: Transfer RNA (tRNA) molecules are approximately 80 nucleotides in length. Their secondary structure includes four short double-helical elements and three loops (D, anti-codon, and T loops).
Source: RNAcentral
GGGCCGUUAGCUCAGCUAGGCAGAGCACCGGACUUUUAAUCCGGGUGUCGUGGGUUCGAUUCCCACACGGCCCACCA